RNAcentral lists this ribosomal RNA (522 nucleotides) under Triticum aestivum (bread wheat). Its description in RNAcentral is "partial small subunit ribosomal RNA". Lineage: Eukaryota; Viridiplantae; Streptophyta; Magnoliopsida; Poales; Poaceae. The record is from RNAcentral.
AUGAGAAGUGUCUCACGGGAUGGGAUGAAAGAGAUGGUAUAUGAGUUUUAUGAGAAUCUAUUCUUCGCCGAGGACUGCAUCUCUAUGGAGAGGGUGUUCGAUGCUAUCCCUAGAAAGGUUGAUGAUAACAUGAAUGCUGAGUUGUGCAAACUUUAUAGUAAUGAGGAGAUGAGAGUGGCUCUCUUUCAGAUCGGUCCUGCAAAGGCUCCUGGAUCGGAUGGACUGCCAGCUAUGUUCUAUCAAACUCACUGGGAUCUGCUCCAGCAUGACAUUUGUGAUGCUAUUCACUCUUUCUUGAGUGGCGAGGCUCUACCUGAAGGACUAUGCGACUCUAUCGUUGUGUUAAUUCCUCAGGUUGAAGGUUUUUUUACUGUCAUUGUCUCGGAGUUUCAAAGUGCUUUCAUGCCCGACCGCUUGAUCACGGACAGUGUUCUAGUGGCGUAUGAAUGUUUGCACACGGUUCAAAAGCAACAUUCCAAGAAGCCUUUCUUUGCGCAAAGUGGACAUGAUGAAGGCCUAUGA